RNAcentral lists this ribosomal RNA (253 nucleotides) under uncultured bacterium. Its description in RNAcentral is "partial 16S ribosomal RNA". It matches the Rfam family "Bacterial small subunit ribosomal RNA", at positions 524 to 776 of the family's 1533-position model. The record is from RNAcentral.
UACGUAGGGUGCAAGCGUUAAUCGGAAUUACUGGGCGUAAAGCGUGCGCAGGCGGUUUUGUAAGACAGUGGUGAAAUCCCCGGGCUCAACCUGGGAACUGCCAUUGUGACUGCAAGGCUAGAGUGCGGCAGAGGGGGAUGGAAUUCCGCGUGUAGCAGUGAAAUGCGUAGAUAUGCGGAGGAACACCGAUGGCGAGGGCAAUCCCCUGGGCCUGCACUGACGCUCAUGCACGAAAGCGUGGGGAGCAAACAGG